CCCGACUGCUAUUUGGGUGAGGAUAAGCCAUGCGAGUCGAAUGGGAUACCUAAAUUUCCCAUGGCGAACUGCUCAAUAACGCAUGAUCAACUUGCCCUAUAGAGAAAAAUAACCUCGGGAAACUGAGGAUAAUGUUUCAUAGUUGAAAAGGCUUGGAAAAGUUUUUCGACCAAAGGGAUAAAAAAAAUGGUUUUUAUCCGCUAUAGGAUAGGAUCGUGCUCGAUUAUGGUCGUUGGUGAGGUAACGGCUCACCAAGCCGAUAAUCGAUAGGGGCCGUGAGAGCGGGAGCCCCGAGAUGGGUACUGAGACAACGACCCAGGCCUUACGAGGCGCAGCAGGCGCGGAACCUCCGCAAUACACGAAAGUGUGACGGGGUUACCCAAAGUGUUCAAUAGAACUGUGGUAGGUGAGUAAUGUCCCCUACUAGAAAGGAGAGGGCAAGGCUGGUGCCAGCCGCCGCGGUAAAACCAGCUCUUCAAGUGGUCGGGAUAAUUAUUGGGCUUAAAGUGUCCGUAGCCGGUUUAGUAAGUUCCUGGUAAAAUCGGGUAGCUUAACUAUCUGCAUGCUAGGAAUACUGCUAUACUAGAGGGCGGGAGAGGUCUGAGGUACUACAGGGGUAGGGGUGAAAUCUUAUAAUCCUUGUAGGACCACCAGUGGCGAAGGCGUCAGACUGGAACGCGCCUGACGGUGAGGGACGAAAGCCAGGGGAGCGAACCGGAUUAGAUACCCGGGUAGUCCUGGCCGUAAACGAUGCAUACUAGGUGAUGGUACGGCCAUGAGCCGUAUCAGUGCCGUAGGGAAACCGUUAAGUGUGCCGCCUGGGAAGUACGGUCGCAAGGCUAAAAC
This 846-nucleotide ribosomal RNA is filed under the name uncultured archaeon. RNAcentral describes it as "bacterial SSU rRNA". It matches the Rfam family "Archaeal small subunit ribosomal RNA", at positions 21 to 855 of the family's 1478-position model. The record is from RNAcentral.